GUGGAGGUGGUCCUGGUGGACCUGUGCGACCUGGAGGUGGGGGUGGAGGUGGACCUGGUGGACCUGCACCAUUGCGGCCUGGAGGUGGAGGUGGAGGUGGAGGUGCACCAGGUGGCUUGGUUACUGAAGAAACUGUUCCUUGACGUGGAGCUCCAGGAGGGGGAGGAGGGAGCGGCGGUGGUGGUGGUCCAGGGGUAGCACUGGCUUUAGUAGCCACGCCAAAUGGAGGUGGAGGUGGGGGUGGGGGUGGUGAACUCUUGGAAAAACUAGAAGUAGAAGCGAUGGGAGGUGGUGGUGGUGGUGGAGCACCUCUUGAAGAAACAGGUGGAGGUGGAGGCGGAGGUGGUGGUGGUGGUGGAGCACCUCUUGAAGAAACAGGUGGAGGUGGAGGCGGAGGUGGUGGUGGUGGUGGAGCACCUCUUGAAGAAACAGGUGGAGGUGGAGGCGGAGGUGGUGGUGGUGGUGGAGCACCUCUUGAAGAAACAGGUGGAGGUGGAGGCGGAGGUGGUGGUGGUGGUGGAGCACCUCUUGAAGAAACAGGUGGAGGUGGAGGCGGAGGUGGUGGUGGUGGAGGUGGCAGUGGUGGAAGGGUCUUUGUGGAGAUAGGAGGCAAAGUGGGAGGUGGUGCUAUAGCAUCAUCUAAACUAUCAACAGGAACAUGUUUUGGUGAUGCUAAAGAACCAUUCACAUUACUUAAAUCAGCACUUGUAGGGGUGGAGGUGGAAUCACCUGCAUCUGAUAUCUUAUGCUGCAGCUGCAAUGGAUCCUCCAAUGAUUUCCGAUCAG
This 786-nucleotide long non-coding RNA is filed under the name Lactuca sativa (garden lettuce). RNAcentral describes it as "long non-coding RNA (LSAT_LNC002176)". Lineage: Eukaryota; Viridiplantae; Streptophyta; Magnoliopsida; Asterales; Asteraceae. The record is from RNAcentral.